Molecule: ribosomal RNA, 270 nt
Filed under: uncultured archaeon
Lineage: Archaea
Description: partial 16S ribosomal RNA
Rfam family: Archaeal small subunit ribosomal RNA
Source: RNAcentral
CAGCACCUCAAGUGGUCAGGAUGAUUAUUGGGCCUAAAGCAUCCGUAGCCGGCGCUGUAAGUUUUCGGUUAAAUCUGUACGCUCAACGUACAGGCUGCCGGGAAUACUGCAGCGCUAGGGAGUGGGAGAGGUAGACGGUACUCGGUAGGAAGGGGUAAAAUCCUUUGAUCUAUUGAUGACCACCUGUGGCGAAGGCGGUCUACCAGAACACGUCCGACGGUGAGGGAUGAAGGCUGGGGGAGCAAACCGGAUUAGAUACCCGAGUAGUCC